Molecule: ribosomal RNA, 615 nt
Filed under: uncultured bacterium
Lineage: Bacteria
Description: bacterial SSU rRNA
Rfam family: Bacterial small subunit ribosomal RNA (bases 1-523)
Source: RNAcentral
CCUACGGGAGGCAGCAGUGGGGAAUAUUGGGCAAUGGAGGAAACUCUGACCCAGCGACGCCGCGUGCGGGAUGAAGGCCUUCGGGUUGUAAACCGCUUUCAGUAGGGAAGAAGCGAAAGUGACGGUACCUACAGAAGAAGCACCGGCUAACUAUGUGCCAGCAGCCGCGGUAAUACAUAGGGUGCAAGCGUUGUCCGGAAUUAUUGGGCGUAAAGAGCUCGUAGGUGGUUCGUCACGUCGGAUGUGAAAAUCUGGGGCUCAACCCCAGACCUGCAUUCGAUACGGGCGAUCUAGAGUGUGGUAGGGGAGACUGGAAUUCCUGGUGUAGCGGUGGAAUGCGCAGAUAUCAGGAGGAACACCAAUGGCGAAGGCAGGUCUCUGGGCCAUUACUGACACUGAGGAGCGAAAGCGUGGGGAGCGAACAGGAUUAGAUACCCUGGUAGUCCACGCCGUAAACGGUGGGCACUAGUUGUGGGAACCUUCCACGGUUUCUGCGACGCAGCUACGACAUAAGUAGCCCGCCCGUCGGGUAGGUACGAGUCGCGAGAAGUUAAACUAACGAAACGGAAGUUAGACGGCGUGAGACGUGGCGAGGACGACGACGAGGGAGGUAGG